This 435-nucleotide ribosomal RNA is filed under the name uncultured bacterium. RNAcentral describes it as "partial 16S ribosomal RNA". It matches the Rfam family "Bacterial small subunit ribosomal RNA", at positions 28 to 507 of the family's 1533-position model. The record is from RNAcentral.
GAUGAACGCUGGCGGUAUGCUUAACACAUGCAAGUCGAACGGACUCUUCGGAGUUAGUGGCGGACGGGUGAGUAACGCGUGAGAAUCUGGCCUUGGGUUCGGGACAACCACUGGAAACGGUGGCUAAUACCGGAUGUGCCGAGAGGUAAAAGAGAAAUUGCCUGCAGAUGAGCUCGCGUCUGAUUAGCUAGUUGGUGAGGUAAAGGCUCACCAAGGCAGCGAUCAGUAGCUGGUCUGAGAGGAUGACCAGCCACACUGGGACUGAGACACGGCCCAGACUCAUACGGGAGGCAGCAGGGGAGAAUUUUCCGCAAUGGGCGAGAGCCUGACGGAGCAAUACCGCGUGAGAGAAGAAGGCUCUUGGGUUGAAAACCUCUCUUCUUAGGGAAGAACAAAAUGACGGUACCUAAGGAAUCAGCAUCGGCUAACUCCGUG